GACGAACGCUGGCGGCGUGCUUAACACAUGCAAGUCGAACGGAAAGGCCCUGCUUUUGUGGGGUGCUCGAGUGGCGAACGGGUGAGUAACACGUGAGUAACCUGCCCUUGACUUUGGGAUAACUUCAGGAAACUGGGGCUAAUACCGGAUAGGAGCUCCUGCUGCAUGGUGGGGGUUGGAAAGUUUCGGCGGUUGGGGAUGGACUCGCGGCUUAUCAGCUUGUUGGUGGGGUAGUGGCUUACCAAGGCUUUGACGGGUAGCCGGCCUGAGAGGGUGACCGGCCACAUUGGGACUGAGAUGCGGCACAGACUCCUACGGGAGGCAGCAGUGGGGAAUAUUGCACAACGGGCGGAAGCCUGAUGCAGCAACGCCGCGUGCGGGAUGACGGGCUUCGGGUUGUAAACCGCUUUCGCCUGUGACGAAGCGUGAGUGACGGUAAUGGGUAAAGAAGCCCCGGCUAACUACGUG
RNAcentral lists this ribosomal RNA (468 nucleotides) under uncultured bacterium. RNAcentral's name for it is "partial 16S ribosomal RNA". It matches the Rfam family "Bacterial small subunit ribosomal RNA", at positions 28 to 507 of the family's 1533-position model. The record is from RNAcentral.